CGUCUGUUCGCGGCUCCGUCACGCCACCACGAGUCAUCGUCGCCGUCUGCUUCCGAAGCUUUUGGGAGGAGCUGAGGAGGAGGAGAAUGGGAAUCUCCGAAGAAGGACAUCACUAUACCGGGAGGUGAGUGAGAUUCAGUCGGUGGUGAGCUGAACUGAUACUGUAGACCAUGAUCGGAAGGUCGUAUGCCUUGGGAGAAUGAUUUUCCGGCGAAGAUGAAGACGAAUGAAACAGUGAACGUGAAGAUAGACGACGAUCUAACGCGGUUUAAGGGAAGAGCCAUGUGAGGGAGAGAGUUCUUUUUUUUUUUCAUGUGUAUUUUUCUCUUUAAAUUAUGUAGAUGAUGUUGAUGAGCUCAAACGACACCGUUUGUUAUGUGGGUUCAUAAAUGGUUAGGUGUGACAUACCACCACCAAGUCACCAACUCUUAAUCGACAAGAUUAGGUCAUGAUGUUCUUUUUGUUUCCUUCAUUAACAAGAAAUCAAGAUUUGCAACAAAAAAAGUAAAAAACACUCAUCUCAUUUUGACUAAUUUACUUCUGGAUUCAAUAUUGAGUUCUUUAGUUUAAUAUAAGUACUACAUGUUCAAAUUUCACAAUAUAACGUUUCUCUAUUGUGAUAUGUGAGUAAAAGAACUUGUAGAAGAUGAAUUAGAUAGCAAAAACCCAAAUAUCAAUAUCUAGUUUCAUUAAUAUGCCUUAUAGACUAAAACGUCACAAGAUCCAUCCACGGGACGAGGCCCACUAAUAUACUCUCCAUUAGCUACUCUGAACAUUAAUACUCCCUCAUGUCAGAUUACCAAAUGUUUGAAGAGUAUUGAGAAGUUAGUUCACAAAGCGUUUUGAUGUCAAGCAGAACUUGUAGGAACAUCCUCAUCAGAAGGAGGCUGCAUUGGUCUUUUAGCUCGAGGUGGUGGUUGUGGCUUUGGUGGCGGUGGUGGUGGUCUCUUUGGUUUCACCUUAUUGACUUCCUCAGAUUCAACUUCAAACUGUACGAUGACAGAAACAGUGCGUUAAGAAGAAGAAAAAAUUGCAAAAUCAUCAAAAUGAGGGUUGAAACAUGGAUAUCAAACCUUGUAACCACAGCCUGCGACACAUGCAUGAAAGCAUUCCUGAGUUGUAUAAAACAGGGGACAUAUAUAAAAAAAGUUAGAUACAGUACAGUUCUUCAGUCUACUACUACUCUGUUUAAGAAAAAGGUUUUUGUUUCAAAUACCUCAGAGUAGCUGGCAGCUCCAGGAGAACGAUCUAUAUAAGCACUCCAUUGUCGGUCUUUUAGCACAGGAUCUUUGUAGCAUAUCUCACUGCAAUCUGACACACCUAUAAAGAGCACACACUAUUACACCAAUUCAUUAAGUAGGAAAUAAAAACCUAUACAAAGAGGAGGAGAUGCCUUCAUGAACAUAUAUAAUGUAAUGUAAGAGACACGUUUGGUUUUAUAAAGUUGCAUAGUGAGGAUAGAUGUAUCUCUACUCCUCAGUUCAUUAACAAUUUCAUCACGGAUUUUCAGAGAUUAGAGAGAAAUGGCUUACAAUCUUCCCAUGAGUCACUAUCGGCAUCACAUCCCUUUUUGCAGAAUACUCUCCCUACAACACGGAUUCAGGGUAAUCAUCAGAGCCUAAACUGAUGAUAAGGCGUAAAAAGGGUUUCUAUAAUCCUGAAAGAGAGUGCUAUUUCAACUAGCUUCUCUGAUGGUGAAUGGAAUUGAGAGAUAAAAAACGUAAAACUCUCAUCAGAAACGUCCAAAGCAAGUCGUUUUACUAAAGUCCAGAGAAUCAACAUCGAUGCGGAAGCAUCUUUACUACACUUGUUCAACUUAUCUUCCUCUCCUAUUAACCAUUUUCACAUAUAUAUGAGCUUGAAGAACUCUGCAUAAUCCCCCUUAUACUCGAUGGAGACAUGCCACAUUCUAUAAUAUAUAUUAUUAACCAAGAAGCAAGACGGUGUUCUUUUAACACUUGCAACUACUACAAUGAGUUUUCUCUGGACCAAUCUUCAUCUAACCAAAGAAGUGAUCAUCCUCCAAACCUCUCAGUAAAGUAGUAUGAUCGCUAACAACAAUUGAUUAGGCUUAAUAACCUGACAAUAACAUUUCCCCAAACAAAAAUGUAGACCAAUGAACUUCCUUCUGAAUCUAACAUUAUCCAGAAAUUAGAAACCUAAUCCACAUAUCAAAAUCGAUUUCAAAUAAUUUACCAGAUUAACAGCGAUUGUAAUCAUUUCAUAGCUAAACCAUCCAAACAAAUGAGCCAACAAUGGAGAUACAUACAUGGAAUCUGCGUAAGAGCUGCAUACUUAUGCGUGCAUUGACUCCCACACGGUGGCGUCCAUUGCUGCGGUAUCAUCUCUCUCUCCGAAGCAAAAAAAAAAAACAAAACAUAAAACUCUUCAGAAUAAAGCAAAGCGCUCUUCAUAUUUUUAAAAAUAAAAAUAAAAACAAUUCGUGUAAUAUACAAGUAAGGUAAAAAUCAUAUUUAAAAAAAAUCAAAAUCCAAUUUUCUACUUUAAAUCGUUGCAGGGUAAGUAAGUUCGAUGGUUUUUUCUUUGCGAUACCUAAAGAAGUAAACCAAAGUGAAAACCACAAGAAGCGCAACACCGGAGACGCCACAGAUGAUACUGGCCGCAAGAAACACGUGCCUCAUCACGUGAUCACGCUUGUUCGCAGCUCCGUCACGCCACCACGAGUCAUCGUCGCCGUCUGCUUCCGAAGCUUUUGGGAGGAGCUGAGGAGGAGGAGAAUGGGAAUCUCCGAAAAAGGACAUCACUAUACCGGGAGGUGAGUGAGAUUCAGUCGGUGGUGAGCUGAACUGAUACUGUAGACCAUGAUCGGAAGGUCGUAUGCCUUGGGAGAAUGAUUUUCCGGCGAAGAUGAAGACGAAUGAAACAGUGAACGUGAAGAUAGACGACGAUCUAACGCGGUUUAAGGGAAGAGCCAUGUGAGGGAGAGAGUUCUUUUUUUUUUUCAUGUGUAUUUUUCUC
Molecule: long non-coding RNA, 2979 nt
Filed under: Brassica napus (rape)
Lineage: Eukaryota; Viridiplantae; Streptophyta; Magnoliopsida; Brassicales; Brassicaceae
Description: long non-coding RNA (BNAP_LNC007969)
Source: RNAcentral